This 435-nucleotide ribosomal RNA is filed under the name uncultured bacterium. RNAcentral's name for it is "partial 16S ribosomal RNA". It matches the Rfam family "Bacterial small subunit ribosomal RNA", at positions 28 to 507 of the family's 1533-position model. The record is from RNAcentral.
GAUGAACGCUGGCGGUAUGCUUAACACAUGCAAGUCGAACGGACUCUUCGGAGUUAGUGGCGGACGGGUGAGUAACGCGUGAGAAUCUGGCUUUGGGUUCGGGACAACCACUGGAAACGGUGGCUAAUACCGGAUGUGCCGAGAGGUAAAAGAGAAAUUGCCUGAAGAUGAGCUCGCGUCUGAUUAGCUAGUUGGUGAGGUAAAGGCUCACCAAGGCAGCGAUCAGUAGCUGGUCUGAGAGGAUGACCAGCCACACUGGGACUGAGACACGGCCCAGACUCCUACGUGAGGCAGCAGUGGGGAAUUUUCCGCAAUGGGCGAAAGCCUGACGGAGCAAUACCGCGUGAGGGAAGAAGGCUCUUGGGUUGUAAACCUCUUUUCUUAGGGAAGAACAAAAUGACGGUACCUAAGGAAUCAGCAUCGGCUAACUCCGUG